AACGAACGCUGGCGGCAUGCCUAACACAUGCAAGUCGAACGAGACCUUCGGGUCUAGUGGCGCACGGGUGCGUAACGCGUGGGAACCUGCCUUUAGGUUCGGAAUAACUCAGAGAAAUUUGAGCUAAUACCGGAUAAUGUCUUCGGACCAAAGAUUUAUCGCCUUUAGAUGGGCCCGCGUAAGAUUAGCUAGUUGGUGGGUAAAGGCCUACCAAGGCGACGAUCUUUAGCUGGUCUGAGAGGAUGAUCAGCCACACUGGGACUGAGACACGGCCCAGACUCCUACGGGAGGCAGCAGUGGGGAAUAUUGGAC
Molecule: ribosomal RNA, 312 nt
Filed under: uncultured bacterium
Lineage: Bacteria
Description: bacterial SSU rRNA
Rfam family: Bacterial small subunit ribosomal RNA
Source: RNAcentral